GACGAACGCUGGCGGCGUGCUUAACACAUGCAAGUCGAACGGAAAGGCCCUGCUUUUGUGGGUUGCUCGAGUGGCGAACGGGGGAGUAACACGUGAGUAACCUGCCCUUGACUUUGGGAUAACUUCAGGAAACUGGGGCGAAUACCGGAUAGGAGCUCUUGCUGCAUGGUGGGGGAUGGCAAGUGUCGGCGGUUGGGGAUGGACUCGCGGCUUAUGUGCUUCUUGGUGGGGUAGGGGCUUACCAAGGCUUUGAUGGAUAGCCGGCCCGAGAGGGUGAACGGCCUCAGUGGGACUGAGAUAGGGCCCAGACUCGUACGGGAGGCAGUAGUGGGGAAUAUUGCAAAGUGGGCGGAAGCCAGAGGUAGCGACGCCGCGAGCGGGAUUACGGGCUUCGGGUUGUGAACCGAUUUCGCCUGUGACGAAGAGUCAUUGACGGUAAUGGAUAAAAAAGCCACGGCUAACUACGUG
This 468-nucleotide ribosomal RNA is filed under the name uncultured bacterium. RNAcentral's name for it is "partial 16S ribosomal RNA". It matches the Rfam family "Bacterial small subunit ribosomal RNA", at positions 28 to 507 of the family's 1533-position model. The record is from RNAcentral.